Molecule: long non-coding RNA, 1701 nt
Organism: Hyla sarda
Lineage: Eukaryota; Metazoa; Chordata; Amphibia; Anura; Hylidae
Exons: 3
Source: RefSeq, a predicted model, not a curated record
UAGGAUGACAUUGCUUAAGUCCAUUAAAGCUUAUACCAUUUCACACUGCUAUCUUGUCUUGAUCCUGGGACCCUUUUAUGACUAGGGCCACUAACAAGUGCGACUCUGACUCUAUACUACAUGGUUGGCCAUUCUUUUGAGGCCAGCUUCAAGUUCUCCUCUGUCUUCAGUUGUUUCUGACCCCAUGAUGAUCAGUCUAUCUCUGUGUCCGCCUAGAAGGCCUUCAUUACCUAUCUCCCUGUUCAGGCAGGUUCUUACACUUCACAUAGUAUGUUCCAUACAUGCUACUGGCAGUCACUAUAUAUUUAUGUUUAAUGUAUAUUCUGUCUAAUUCUCCAUUGAUCCUAACCAACUGAGGAAAAUACUGGUUACUGGACAUACAUACGACUCUCUGUUUUGAAGUCUAAGGGAGACACUGAUCUGACUGUCUUCAUACCCCUACUGGAUCCAUUGGAGAGGGCCAUGGGUAUGUCUGUCCACUUCUCCUAUAUAUGGCUAUAACUGGAGGUGAAUUGUGGGGUCUUCACCAACUUUAAUCUGGUUCUGAGUAGAAAAUCUAUAUACAGGAGUGCAUAGCUACCGUAUAUUAUGUAUUAGUAAUACUGAACAUUAGAUCAGUACUAUAAUAUCUGCCUAUCAAUAAGGUGACGGACAGCAGAUUUGCUAACAGCAAAUGAAAAAGUCAAUUUGUCUAACAGACAAUGAAUCUAACUAAUAGAGAAGAAUAUGAGUGUGGUUUCAGGACAUCUGGUGAGACUCCCCAAAGCAUUACAGAAGACCCCCUGUCAUUACAGUAUGCUGGUGAACACCGCAUGCCGUGUCUGCUUGUUUGAUGAAACCCAAUACAGAUCAUAGGAGAGAACAUUCUGUACAUGAGAAGUUACGUCAUUAAGGCACCUGGGCUAGUACACAGAAAAGAUGAAUCAAUCUCCAUUGGGAGAGGCUGAAGCAAUAGCAGCUGCUAUAAUAGAUGUCGGAAAAAUCUAGUUCUGAAGGAGACGUGGUAUUGAUGUCAUUGACAUUACUCCAAAUCCAGGAGUUAAAUGAUCCGGGCGACAAGGUGAAGGAACAGGAUGUACAGAAGAUGACUAACUCAUCUGUGUAAAUAUAUAGCUACGUGUACUAGCUGAGUACCCAGCAUUGUCCGGUCUUCCUACCUAUACCUUGUGGAAGAGGAAAAGCAACAAUGAUAUAUAAAUAACACAAUAUUUAAAAGCUGUGGGAGUACUGUGAGCCCUGCACUGUGUAGUGCUUGCCACCCAGCUUUACCAGUCUCCUGAAGCCCCAGCAAUGAUAGUCUUCUCAUUUUCCCUCCACUCCUCAAUGCAGCAGUACUGCCAUGCCUUCUUCCUGCCCCCACAGUGAUGUCUUCUCUUUCACUUCACUCUUCUCUCAGCCUGCAAUAAAUCUUCUCUCCCUUGCCCUGUCCUCUAUCCCUGCCCCCAAAAUAACUGUUCUCUGCACCUACCUGCCGGACAGUUAAAUCAUACUUUACCAUGAGGUUGGUCAGGGGGCAGGAUGUUUAAAACUCCCAGGAAAUCCCUGCACCCUGAAUCAGGACAUGUGCCGGAAUCUCCUCUGUUUAACUCUCAGGCUACGGAGAUUAUCGGUAUCAGGACAUCCGUAAACUUUAUUAUAUUUUUAUUUGACAUAUAAGUAACAUGUGUACAAAGUUUAUCUGCAAUAAAUAUCUCCAUUCAU